Molecule: long non-coding RNA, 271 nt
Filed under: Elaeis guineensis (African oil palm)
Lineage: Eukaryota; Viridiplantae; Streptophyta; Magnoliopsida; Arecales; Arecaceae
Description: long non-coding RNA (EGUI_LNC069187)
Source: RNAcentral
AUGGCUGAAGGGUCCAAUUAGAUUGUAACUCUAGUGAGGAGUCCCACUAAAACAGAAACUCUGGAGAAGAGUCCCACUAGGACUGGGACUCUACUUUUAAUGAAGAAUUAAUUAGUAAUUAGAUCACUAAUUAACUCAAUUUGAUUGAGUAAAGAGUUUUGGAUCAAGUCUAAUUGAAUUAGAUUCAGUUCAACUCAGAUUGGGUUUGAUAUGAUCAAUCCUAAUUACAAAAAAAAAUUGAUCAUGAUUCGAUUAGGAUUUGGACUCGACU